RNAcentral lists this ribosomal RNA (675 nucleotides) under uncultured metazoan. RNAcentral's name for it is "partial 18S ribosomal RNA". Lineage: Eukaryota; Metazoa. The record is from RNAcentral.
GAGCUCUCAAUCUGUCAAUCCUUCCAGUGUCCGGGCCUGGUGAGAUUUCCCGUGUUGAGUCAAAUUAAGCCGCAGGCUCCACUCCUGGUGGUGCCCUUCCGUCAAUUCCUUUAAGUUUCAGCUUUGCAACCAUACUUCCCCCGGAACCCAAACGCUUUGGCUUCCCGAAAGCUUCCCGCAGAGCCUACAAAUGCAACUCAGCGGAUCGCUAGCUGGCAUCGUUUAUGGUUAGAACUAGGGCGGUAUCUGAUCGCCUUCGAACCUCUAACUUUCGUUCUUGAUUAAUGAAAACACUCUUGGCAAAUGCUUUCGCAGUAGUUAGUCUUCAAACGGUCCAAGAAUUUCACCUCUGUCGUUUGAAUACUAAUGCCCCCAAUUGUCCCUAUUAAUCAUUAACUCGAUUCCCGAAAACCAACAAAAUAGGAACGAGUUCCUAUUCCAUUAUUCCAUGCACGAAUAUUCAAGCCUGAAAAGCCUGCUUUGAGCACUCUAAUUUUUUCAAAGUAAACCUGCCGGCAUCCCAGGACACUCGGUUAAGAGCACCCUGGAACCUCCGGCAAAAACACGGGCAAAUAGGGCAGUAGCGACAAACAUCGAACCGCCCCCUGCCCGCCGAGAUCCAACUACGAGCUUUUUAACCGCAACAACUUUAACAUACGCUAUUGGAGCUGGAAU